AUGACGCCGCCGCAGCAAUGUGCAGAUCGCCGGCCUCCUCCUCUUGGCCUCCGUGGGCUUUCUAGGGUUGCUUUCCAGCCGAGAUCGCCGCCGCCCGGAGGUCUUCCUCCUCUUGGUCUCACCGGACGCUCUGGUGCUCCUUCCUUCUCCAUCGGCACGGCAGGUUUCGAGCGUCUUCCUCCUCCUACAACUUUGCCUCGACGGCACGUCGGCCUCACACGCCCAUCUCGCGCUCCGGCACCUAACGAGGCCGGUUCCUCGAACUGGAGUGCCUCCGUCGGCGAGGCCGGUACAGGCAGCGGAGGGUUCGUGGGGUUUCACCUCAUCAAUGGCAGCGGCGGGAUGUCGUUUGGCGGUGGCGGUGGCGGCGUGAUCUCGUUUGGCGGUGGCGGUGGCGGUGGCAGCGGGAUAUCGUUUGGCGGCGGCGGCAGCGAGUCCCUGGACUUCACGUUCAGAACCGGCGCCGGUGCCAAUCGGAGUGAAGGAUCCUCCCAUGGUGGAAGCAGAGAAGGUAUUGGUGGAAAUGAGGGUACCAUUGGCUACCGAGGGCCUGGAUACAACCCAAAUUUUUCACAUGCCGACGAAUACCCUCCUAGUCAAGAGGCUGUUCAAACCCAAAGACAACCUAUCGAUUUGAAUGUUUUGUCGAACAAGGAGACAAGAAGACAGUACCGUAUCGAUGAUAGGCGUCACAUAUAUACUGAGAUCAUUGCCCGUAAUGGUACGGGUAAUAGGUUGAAGCAUGGAGUUUCUAAAGCUGCUGCACUAGCUUGUAAAUGUCCUAGGAGGAUAGUGCAAAGGGAGACCCGCGGCGCUCUCGUCUUCGUCCUGCAGACUAUCCGCGAGCUCUCGCCGAAAGCGUUCGUCAUCGUGGAGCAGGGCGCCGGCCACAACUACGCCGCGUUGUUCUACGCCCUCGACAUGGCGCUCCUGCGCUAUGACGUCCGGCACGCUCGCGUGGAGCAAUUCCACUUCGGCGCCGAGAUCCACAACGUGGUAGGAUGCGAGGGCGUGGCGCGCGUCGAGCGGAACGAGCGCGCGGACCAGUGGCGACGCCGCAUGAGCCGCGCAGGCUUCCUGUCCAUGCCGUUCAAGAUGGCAGCCAAGGCACGGGAGUGGCUGGAGGAGAACGCUGGCGGCAGUGGAUACACGGUGGCCGAAGAGAAGGGGCGCCUCGUGUGCUUGGAUGGAAGGGCAAGCCCGUCAUCGCUACCUCGUGCUGGAAAUGCCAGGGACACUGAUGGUGAUCAGUUUCUCGCCUGCUGGCCACUGUCGAACACUUCACAAUGUUCACAAUAUCCACGACCACGAGUACGUGUACGUACACGGUACGUGCGUGCACGGUGGAUUGGAUGUGAGAAAAGCGAUCGUGGACGAUCGCAUCUGAGGCCAACUCCACCGGCCGCCGCCGGUCCCUGCCUCUUCCGUUUGGCCACUCCGGCCACGCGAGGAGGUGGGGACCACGGCGCUUCGACGCCGGCCUGUAGUUAG
RNAcentral lists this ribosomal RNA (1491 nucleotides) under Triticum aestivum (bread wheat). Its description in RNAcentral is "partial small subunit ribosomal RNA". Lineage: Eukaryota; Viridiplantae; Streptophyta; Magnoliopsida; Poales; Poaceae. The record is from RNAcentral.